GCAAACUGAAGAUGGCGACCGGCGCACGGGUGAGUAACACGUAUCCAACCUACCGAUAACUCCGGAAUAGCCUUUCGAAAGAAAGAUUAAUACCGGAUAGCAUACGAAUAUCGCAUGAUAUUUUUAUUAAAGAAUUUCGGUUAUCGAUGGGGAUGCGUUCCAUUAGUUUGUUGGCGGGGUAACGGCCCACCAAGACUACGAUGGAUAGGGGUUCUGAGAGGAAGGUCCCCCACAUUGGAAUUGAGACACGGUCCAAACUCCUACGGGAGGCAGCAUG
Molecule: ribosomal RNA, 277 nt
Filed under: uncultured bacterium
Lineage: Bacteria
Description: partial 16S ribosomal RNA
Rfam family: Bacterial small subunit ribosomal RNA
Source: RNAcentral